Molecule: ribosomal RNA, 144 nt
Filed under: Acinetobacter baumannii
Lineage: Bacteria; Pseudomonadati; Pseudomonadota; Gammaproteobacteria; Moraxellales; Moraxellaceae
Description: partial 16S ribosomal RNA
Rfam family: Bacterial small subunit ribosomal RNA
Source: RNAcentral
UUUAACUGAAGAGUUUGAUCAUGGCUCAGAUUGAACGCUGGCGGCAGGCUUAACACAUGCAAGUCGAGCGGGGGAAGGUAGCUUGCUACUGGACCUAGCGGCGGACGGGUGAGUAAUGCUUAGGAAUCUGCCUAUUAGUGGGGG